Molecule: transfer RNA, 66 nt
Filed under: Hiatella arctica
Lineage: Eukaryota; Metazoa; Mollusca; Bivalvia; Adapedonta; Hiatellidae
Description: tRNA-Met
Source: RNAcentral
UAAGAAAUAAACUAAAAAGGUUAUUGGACUCAUGUUCCAAAUGUGAGAUAAUCUCUCUUUCUUAUA